Molecule: ribosomal RNA, 207 nt
Filed under: uncultured bacterium
Lineage: Bacteria
Description: partial 16S ribosomal RNA
Rfam family: Bacterial small subunit ribosomal RNA
Source: RNAcentral
CGGACUGUAGUCUGCAACCCGACUACACGAAGCUGGAAUCGCUAGUAAUCGCGGAUCAGAAUGUCGCGGUGAAUACGUUCCCGGGUCUUGUACACACCGCCCGUCACACCAUGGGAGUCGGGAAUGCCCGAAGUCAGUGACCCAACCUAUUGGAGGGAGCUGCCGAAGGCAGGUCUGAUAACUGGGGUGAAGUCGUAACAAGGUAUC